GAUGAACGCUGACAGCAUGCCUAAUACAUGCAAGUCGAGCGGACCGAUGGGUAGCGUGCUGGUCGGGCGAGUGCCGCGUACGGAUCAUGCACAAGUGGAUGGCCCAACUAUUGGACUGGAAUGACUUCAGGAGAUCGGAGCUAAUAACGGCUACGUAUAUUAAUGACAUGGUUCUGUACUGAAAGACAGUUUUGCGUUCACUUAGAGAGUUAUCCGCGCCGCGUUGGAUAGUUGGUAUGGUAACGACUUGCCAAGGCAAGGAAGCGGGGCAGACAUGAGAGGGUGGUUGGCCACACUGGAACUGAGACACGCCACAGACUCCUACGGGAGGCACCCGUAGGGAAUCUUGCGCAAUGGGCGAAAGCCUGACGGAGCAACGCCGCGUGAGUGAUGAAGGUCUUCGGAUCGUAAAACGCUGUUAUUCGGGAAGAAAAAAUGUGUAAGUAACUAUGAACGUAUUGACGGUACCUACUCAGAAAGCCACGGCUAACUACGUG
Molecule: ribosomal RNA, 497 nt
Filed under: uncultured bacterium
Lineage: Bacteria
Description: partial 16S ribosomal RNA
Rfam family: Bacterial small subunit ribosomal RNA
Source: RNAcentral